ACAGGGCCUGUGGGCAGGGCAGGGUCACCACCCGGGUCCCGGGAUGGCUUGAGUCCUCUAAGGAAUAAGGUCACCUCCGGCUCAGGGACACAGAGAGGAGGGCAUUGUCUGGCCAAGGUCACACAGCUUGGAGGGGACAGGCCAAAGAGACAGCAUCCUGCGAGGGCAAGGCCCAGAGCACCCCAUCCUGCGAACCCAAACCCCAAGCAGAGCGGGGGCUUCCACACCCCUUUAACCUUCACAGCCUCCAAGUCCCGCCCUGGCACAGACUGGGAUUCCUCCGCAGCCCCGCCUCCCAGGAUGGAAACUCCAGCAAGCCGCCCACCUACAGGGCGCUGAAGGACGAGGGGAAGACGACGGGUCCCACCUGACUCUGCACCUCGGCAGGCUCCCUCUGAAGGACACUGCUGGCCCGUCAGGACCUCAGGUGGAAGGCGUCGGGAAGUGGAGCAGGCUAUGUGAGUCGAGGAUGGCUAAUGACCUUCCCAGAACAUCCCAGGAGGGUGUGACAGCUUCGGCCUGGAAGGUUCUAUCUUCAGGUCCCCAAGGCAUCUGCAGCACACCGUCUUCUGCUGUGGGUCUGUGAAGCAGGCACUCCAGCAGCGGGACAGUGGUGCCUGUCCAUUCCCUCUGCUAGCUGCCAGCCCUGCUGUCCUCCACGCUUUCUGGCGACCUCACUGUAUGAAACUCCCCAACUCCUCCUCCACGCCAAGUGUCAAAACAGCAGGGUUUAGGUGCUUUGAGGAUUUCCACCGAGCGUGACUGCAAAGAGGUGAGCACAUUUAAGCCCCUACUCCCAGCCCAGUCCCCUGCAUCAGAGUUCCAGGGCUGACUGCAGAGCGGACGCAGCCUCCUCCCAGAGGCAGGCACACAGUAGGUGCUCAAGCAAUAGGAUUUCUGCCAUUUCCACACUUUUGGAAGAACCUGCCCAUCCCCCAUCCUCUGCCCGCUCUCAAGGGCCGUCCUCCUGAACUUGUUAAGGCGGCUCUUCCUACUCCCACUGAAUGAAUGAGGAAACUGAGGCAGGGUGUGGGGGCCUGGAGGACAGAAGCAUUGUCCGAGGCCCCCGGGGGAGGCCAGGGAAGCCUCAGUCCGGCAGGUCCCCGGGUUCCCGGCCCCCAGGGCCUUCUUCUUAACCCACCCCCGGCCCCUCCAAGGCUCCCACUCACGCGGACGAGCCCUCCAGCUUGCCGUAGAGCCAGCCGUUCUGGGCCUCGGGCACCAGC
This is a long non-coding RNA of Symphalangus syndactylus (siamang), 1226 nucleotides long. RefSeq lists it as uncharacterized. NCBI's taxonomy places the organism in Eukaryota, Metazoa, Chordata, Mammalia, Primates, Hylobatidae. The record is from RefSeq and is a predicted model, not a curated record.